GUUUUCUCCGAAACACUGCUAACUACAUACACGGCGCAGAACACCACAAACUGAAAGAAAUUUGCGACGAAGACAUCACUCAAUCCUUCUUUUGGAUCAGUUCUAAUGAAGUAUCACAUGUGAUUUCGUUAAAUGGGAAUGGAUGGACAUGUAGCAUGAAUGGAUCAAGCACGUAAUAUAGCUACAUACAACACAGAUAAAUUCAGGUUCUCAAGAUGAAUGCUUCGGUCUGGACCAGGACGUAGGUUCAACUGUGAAGUCGAGGAGGUCAGGAUUGUCUUUAUAUGUAGCUCGGACGGAAAGAAAGAAUCGCAGUGAGCCAUAGCAGGAAACCUCUAAGUGAGGACUAUUUGCAAGACACGUAAGGAAAUGUAAAAAUAGGAAUAUCUCUCUUACGACAUAGGGAUCAAGUGUCGUUGAGUUUUUUUAUCUUUCAAAGUGAAGGGAGUAAAUAAACUGACAGUAACUAAUAACAAUUUA
Non-coding RNA from Zootermopsis nevadensis, 480 nucleotides. The record is from RefSeq and is a predicted model, not a curated record. Lineage: Eukaryota; Metazoa; Arthropoda; Insecta; Blattodea; Termopsidae.